CAAUAGCCCCGAUGGUAGUGGAUCCCGAUUUUCAUCGGGAGGAACGGACAGCGGGAACAAGG
Molecule: small RNA, 62 nt
Filed under: Flavobacterium cauense R2A-7
Lineage: Bacteria; Pseudomonadati; Bacteroidota; Flavobacteriia; Flavobacteriales; Flavobacteriaceae
Description: Flavo-1 RNA
Rfam family: Flavo-1 RNA
Source: RNAcentral